GAUGAACGCUGGCGGCGUGCCUAAUACAUGCAAGUCGAGCGAACGGACGAGAAGCUUGCUUCUCUGAUGUUAGCGGCGGACGGGUGAGUAACACGUGGAUAACCUACCUAUAAGACUGGGAUAACUUCGGGAAACCGGAGCUAAUACCGGAUGAUAUUUUGAACCGCAUGGUUCAAAAGUGAAAGACGGUCUUGCUGUCACUUAUAGAUGGAUCCGCGCUGCAUUAGCUAGUUGGUAAGGUAACGGCUUACCAAGGCAACGAUGCAUAGCCGACCUGAGAGGGUGAUCGGCCACACUGGAACUGAGACACGGUCCAGACUCCUACGGGAGGCAGCAGUAGGGAAUCUUCCGCAAUGGGCGAAAGCCUGACGGAGCAACGCCGCGUGAGUGAUGAAGGUCUUCGGAUCGUAAAACUCUGUUAUUAGGGAAGAACAUAUGUGUAAGUCACUGUGCACAUCUUGACGGUACCUAAUCAGAAAGCCACGGCUAACUACGUG
RNAcentral lists this ribosomal RNA (497 nucleotides) under uncultured bacterium. Its description in RNAcentral is "partial 16S ribosomal RNA". It matches the Rfam family "Bacterial small subunit ribosomal RNA", at positions 28 to 507 of the family's 1533-position model. The record is from RNAcentral.